ACCACGCAGUUCGUCGGAAUCUUCCUGGAAAUUGAUUUCAAAGUCGACUGGUUUUGUAACUUUUGAUCAGUGUUUCGUCUUGCUGUAUCUGCUGGAGAGAAGCGCAUGUAACUUUCGGCACAUAGCUUCGAUUGGAACAAUAUUGGACUAUAUGGAGAGCUGUCUGUCUGGGCAAUCUGUGGAUAUGUUUCCCGUCUCUUGGUUCGUCGUACAAUGUCGGAAAAUUGCUCACGAAGUUGGUCGUUUGUUUAAGUGGUGUCAAUCUGAAUUGUCUUGGAAAAACGA
Long non-coding RNA from Arabidopsis thaliana (thale cress), 285 nucleotides. RefSeq annotates it as other RNA. The transcript has a single exon. Lineage: Eukaryota; Viridiplantae; Streptophyta; Magnoliopsida; Brassicales; Brassicaceae. The record is from RefSeq.